Molecule: ribosomal RNA, 336 nt
Filed under: uncultured bacterium
Lineage: Bacteria
Description: partial 16S ribosomal RNA
Source: RNAcentral
ACUAUUGUCACGGGUUACCGCGGCUGCUGGCACGGAGUUAGCCGGUGCUUCUUCUGUGAGUGAUGUCCUUCCUGCCGGCUAUUAACCCGCAGGCCUUCUUCCUCACUGAAAGUGCUUUACAACCCGAAGGCCUUCUUCACACACGCGGCAUGGCUGGAUCAGGGUUGCCCCCAUUGUCCAAUAAUUCCCCACUGCUGCCUCCCGUAGGAGUCUGGGCCGUGUCUCAGUCCCAGUGUGGCUGAUCAUCCUCUCAGACCAGCUACGGAUCGUCGCCUUGGUGAGCCGUUACCUCGACCAACCAGCUAAUCCGACAUAGGCUCAUCCGAUAGCGCGAGG